AAUAGAGGAGCGGAUGAGCAUCAGUACUUUUGCCCCGGCGGAGAGCGGUUUUUCUCCGGCAAAAGGAAAGGGCAUCUCCGCCGAGGUACGGCAAUCCACCGCGUUGCCGCCGCCGGGCGUACGGGAGAAUACCUGUGCGACUGUCACCUUGAAAGUGGAGCACUAUUU
This 168-nucleotide non-coding RNA is filed under the name chicken gut metagenome. Its description in RNAcentral is "Lysine riboswitch". It matches the Rfam family "Lysine riboswitch aptamer". Rfam says of the family: Riboswitches are metabolite binding domains within certain messenger RNAs that serve as precision sensors for their corresponding targets. Allosteric rearrangement of mRNA structure is mediated by ligand binding, and this results in modulation of gene expression. This family includes riboswitches that sense lysine in a number of genes involved in lysine metabolism, including lysC. The record is from RNAcentral.